CAUCUGGAGAAGGACAACAGGGAUUGCCCCAGUAACGGCGAGUGAAGCGGCAACAGCUCAAAUUUGAAAUCUGGCCUCCGGGUCCGAGUUGUAAUUUGUAGAGGAUGCUUUUGGCGAGGUGCCUUCCGAGUUCCCUGGAACGGGACGCCAUAGAGGGUGAGAGCCCCGUCUGGUCGGACACCGAGCCUCUGUAAAGCUCCUUCGACGAGUCGAGUAGUUUGGGAAUGCUGCUCAAAAUGGGAGGUAUAUGUCUUCUAAAGCUAAAUAUUGGCCAGAGACCGAUAGCGCACAAGUAGAGUGAUCGAAAGAUGAAAAGCACUUUGAAAAGAGGGUUAAAAAGUACGUGAAAUUGUUGAAAGGGAAGCGCCUAUGACCAGACUUGGGCCCGGUGAAUCAUCCAGCGUUCUCGCUGGUGCACUUUGCCGGGCACAGGCCAGCAUCAGUUUGGCGCGGGGGAUAAAGGUUUUGGGAAUGUGGCUCCCUCGGGAGUGUUAUAGCCCAUUGCGUAAUACCCUGCGCCGGACUGAGGUACGCGCAUCGCAAGGAUGCUGGCGUAAUGGUCAUCAGCGACCCGUCUUGAAACACGGACCAAGGAGUCGUCUUCGUAUGCGAGUGUUCGGGUGUCAAACCCCUACGCGUAAUGAAAGUGAACGCAGGUGAGAGCUUCGGCGCAUCAUCGACCGAUCCUGAUGUUCUCGGAUGGAUUUGAGUAAGAGCAUACGGGGCCGGACCCGAAAGAAGGUGAACUAUGCCUGUAUAGGGUGAAGCCAGAGGAAACUCUGGUGGAGGCUCGCAGCGGUUCUGACGUGCGAAUCGAUCGUCAAAUAUGGGCAUGGGGGCGAAAGACUAAUCGAACCUUCUAGUAGCUGGUUUCCGCCGAAGUUCCCCCUUCAGGGAA
RNAcentral lists this ribosomal RNA (898 nucleotides) under Samsoniella aurantia. RNAcentral's name for it is "partial large subunit ribosomal RNA". It matches the Rfam family "Eukaryotic large subunit ribosomal RNA", at positions 44 to 980 of the family's 3401-position model. The record is from RNAcentral. Lineage: Eukaryota; Fungi; Ascomycota; Sordariomycetes; Hypocreales; Cordycipitaceae.